This 1184-nucleotide ribosomal RNA is filed under the name Ascomycota sp. L256. Its description in RNAcentral is "eukaryotic LSU rRNA". The stretch from base 534 to 1184 matches the Rfam family "Eukaryotic large subunit ribosomal RNA", at positions 1 to 620 of the family's 3401-position model. Lineage: Eukaryota; Fungi; Ascomycota. The record is from RNAcentral.
UUUUUUUUUUUGGGAUAAAGUUUACCAAGUUUCGUAGGUUGUAUUAUCGAGCCACGUCCAUUUGUUUACCAUUGCUAACUGAAUUCCAGGUGAACCUGCGGAAGGAUCAUUAAAGGUUUAGGGUACUCAGUGCCCAAACUUCAACCCAAUGUUUUGUUAAACUGUUUCUUUGCCGGUCUCGGCCGGCAGAAGACCUCUCAAACUCCUUUAAUCUGUUCUGAAUACGAUAAAAAAAAUCGUUAAAACUUUCAACAACGGAUCUCUUGGUUCUGGCAUCGAUGAAGAACCGCAGCGAAAUGCGAUAAGUAAUGUGAAUUGCAGAAUUCAGUGAAUCAUCGAAUUUUUGAACGCAUAUUGCGCCCUUUGGUAUUCCGAAGGGCAUGCCUGUUCGAGCGUCAUGACAACCCUCAAGCCUAGCUUGCUGUUGGGCCCCGCCGGAGACGGCAGGCCUUAAAGUCAGUGACGGUUACCCCUAACCUCAGGCGCACAGAUGCUGCUAUGACGGGAAGGGGCGAUCAGUAUCUCCAAUCGUUUGACCUCGGAUCAGGUAGGAAUACCCGCUGAACUUAAGCAUAUCAAUAAGCGGAGGAAAAGAAACCAACAGGGAUUGCCUCAGUAACGGCGAGUGAAGCGGCAAAAGCUCAAAUUUGAAAUCUGGCCUUUGGUCCGAGUUGUAAUUUGUAGAGGAUGUUUCGGGCAAGAUCCGGGCUUAAGUUCCUUGGAACAGGACGUCAUAGAGGGUGAGAAUCCCGUACGUGGUCCAGGGUCGCGCCCAUGUGAAACUCCUUCGACGAGUCGAGUUGUUUGGGAAUGCAGCUCAAAAUGGGUGGUAAAUUUCAUCUAAAGCUAAAUAUUGGGCCAGAGACCGAUAGCGCCACAAGUAGAGUGAUUCGAAAAGAUGAAAAGCACUUUGAAAAAGAGAGUUAAACAGCAUGUGAAAUUGUUGAAAGGGAAGCGCUUGCAACCAGACUUGUUUGGUAGGGUUCAGCCGUCGUUCUCGUCGGUGUAUUUCUCUAUCUACAGGCCAGCAUCAGUUUGGACGGAAGGUCAAAGGCCUUGGGAAGGUAGCAUCCUUCGGGAUGUCUUAUAGCCCUCGGUGUAAUGCUUCCUGCCCGGACUGAGGAACGCGCUCGGUCGAUGCGCGAUAGGGGGAAAGGUUUAAACUGUUAAAAACCCAACAAAAA